GCUCGCAUGGCUUAGUUGGCAAAGCGCAUCACUAGUAAUGAUGAGAUCCUCGGUUCAAAUCCGAGUGUGAGCA
This is a non-coding RNA of Aspergillus alliaceus, 73 nucleotides long. NCBI's taxonomy places the organism in Eukaryota, Fungi, Ascomycota, Eurotiomycetes, Eurotiales, Aspergillaceae. The record is from the annotation of a RefSeq genome assembly.